RNAcentral lists this unclassified non-coding RNA (403 nucleotides) under Hevea brasiliensis (rubber tree). The record is from RNAcentral. Lineage: Eukaryota; Viridiplantae; Streptophyta; Magnoliopsida; Malpighiales; Euphorbiaceae.
CACAUAACCAUGGGGAAGGUAAGUGUAACCUUGUGCAUGGCUUUCCUAGUCUUUCUCAUCGCUAAAGCCAAUUCCCAGAGUGCUUCCAAUGUAAGAGCAACCUAUCAUGUAUACAAUCCUGAACAAAAUGGAUGGGACUUGAAUGCUGUGAGUGCUUACUGCGCAACAUGGGAUGCAAGCAAGCCUCUUGAAUGGCGCAAGAAGUAUGGAUGGACGGCCUUCUGUGGACCAGCCGGACCUCAAGGACAAGCUGCUUGCGGCAAAUGUUUAAGUGUGACCAAUACUGGAACAGGAACUAAAGUAACGGUGAGAAUUAUUGAUCAGUGCAGCAAUGGAGGGUUAGACUUAGAAGAAGGUGUUUUCCGGCAGUUAGACACCGAUGGAAAAGGCAUUGCUCAAGGCC